UAGUCCACACCGUAAACGAUGAUUACUAGUUGGUGGGAUGCUUGCCGUUUCACUGACGAAGCUAACGCAUUAAGUAAUCCGCCUGGGGAGUACGGCCGCAAGGUUAAAACUCAAAGAAAUUGACGGGGGCCCGCACAAGCGGUGGAGUAUGUGGUUUAAUUCGAGGCAACGCGAAGAACCUUACCUGGUCUUGACAUCCCGCGCAAUCCUAAGAAAUUAGGAGUUCCUUCGGGACGCGGUGACAGGUGCUGCAUGGCUGUCGUCAGCUCGUGUCGUGAGAUGUUGGGUUAAGUCCCGCAACGAGCGCAACCCUUGCCAUUAGUUGCUAGCCUUAAGUUGGGCACUCUAAUGGGACCGCUUGCCGAUAAGGCAGAGGAAGGUGGGGAUGACGUCAAGUCCGCAUGGCCCUUACGACCAGGGGCUACACACGUACUACAAUGGCCUAUACAAAGCGCAGCGAGACAGUGAUGUUAAGCAAAUCG
RNAcentral lists this ribosomal RNA (482 nucleotides) under uncultured bacterium. RNAcentral describes it as "bacterial SSU rRNA". It matches the Rfam family "Bacterial small subunit ribosomal RNA", at positions 791 to 1274 of the family's 1533-position model. The record is from RNAcentral.